AACACCAGUUCACUCGUAUUGUUUUAUUUCUCUCGUAUUUAUACCACCAUCAUUUAACUAUGAUUUUCCCUUUUACCCUUUAAUACAUAUCCCCACAGAUGUGUAAUCCGGUCAAACACUUUUCACUGUCGGAUUCUCAGUCCUUUUUCAAGUCCUGAUACGCCCAGCUUCCAGGUUCGGUAAAACACCAGGAGUUACACCAACCACCCACACAUUUCCCAGUAUGAAAAACAACAAAUCUUUCCCUGUGUCCUUAUUUCUUCAUCUAAUAUUCUAACCUGCCAGUCCAAGAAUCACACGAGUAGGACUGCAGGACCAGAGGUAUCUACGUACCACACGGAUUGUAACUUGGAUUUCUACAGACUAAGAGUCGACCUCAGGGAACUCAAGUGAGCCCCGUCAUUCCUUUUUAAACUCUUCAUAUAUUUACCUAAGUCCCUAAACCUAAACCCCUACACUGUUCUAAACUGCCAGUCCACUGCAUGCAAACGUGGGACUGCAGUUACCAGAGGUAUCUACGUACCACACGGAUUGUAACUUGGAUUUCUACAGACUAAGAGUCGACCUCAGGGAACUCAAGUGAGCCCCGUCAUUCCUUUUUAAACUCUUCAUAUAUUUACCUAAGUCCCUAAACCUAAACCCCUACACUGUUCUAAACUGCCAGUCCACUGCAUGCAAACGUGGGACUGCAGUUACCAGAGGUAUCUACGUACCACACGGAUUGUAACUUGGAUUUCUACAGACUAAGGGUCGAC
This is a long non-coding RNA of Gasterosteus aculeatus aculeatus (three-spined stickleback), 755 nucleotides long. Lineage: Eukaryota; Metazoa; Chordata; Actinopteri; Perciformes; Gasterosteidae. The record is from Ensembl.